GCGGCUACAUGAGCGAUACAAUGCGCGAUGCCACCUCCUUUCGAGGAUUGUACAAGACAAUUACUUGAGCUGUGGUCGUCUUCCCCACCAUACACCCCCCGGCACUAAGCCUAACUGCUGACAAGUUGCGAAAUGAAAACGCAACGGUCUGGCCUCAGGUAUCGUUACCCGACGUCGUUGUCAGGCGAUGAUGCGUCUUGACUAUACAGACCCGUGACGUAUGGGGAUGAAAGUUCAGGCGAGGCC
Molecule: long non-coding RNA, 246 nt
Filed under: Volvox carteri
Lineage: Eukaryota; Viridiplantae; Chlorophyta; Chlorophyceae; Chlamydomonadales; Volvocaceae
Description: long non-coding RNA (VCAR_LNC000154)
Source: RNAcentral